UGAUGACUGAUGACCGAUGAUUCUUCUUGCC
This 31-nucleotide non-coding RNA is filed under the name Rattus norvegicus (Norway rat). The record is from RNAcentral. Lineage: Eukaryota; Metazoa; Chordata; Mammalia; Rodentia; Muridae.